GCCACCUUCCUCUAACCACUUCCUGCCGUCUCCUCUUCGUGGUUUCUGCCAGUAGUUACUUCCUUUAAUUGGUCACAUAAUUUGUGUGAUGCAAAAAGUUGCUUCCAUUGUAGUUUUGCAAAAUAAGCCAGAACGUGUUGUGUCCAUUAAGUGACUUUAUUGUUGUAAUUUAUUUUGUUUUUCUGUCCUACGGUCAGUGGAAACGCAGAUCUGACAACUCAGCCGCCUUUUUUUUUAAAAAACAGGAAACGGCUUCAGAUCUCACUGGAGCGUUGAAGAGGAUCAGCUCCAGAGACUCGGCACAAAAACCUCCCAAACUGAGUGCAGUAAAAGGCUGAGAGUUGCGUGCGCCGGUCCAGAACACACACACAGCCACACCUGAGCCGCCUUCAAUAGGCGUUAUUCAGCAGCCUGACAGCCGGGACAAUGGCGCCGACCGCGGCCGUCCGCUGAGGAGGAACCGACCUGCCUGAACACAUCGGGCCGCCGAGGCUUUCCGUGCCGCCGUGACUUCAGUUUGACAGUAAAGAGCCGUUUGUCUCUCAUUGCAUGCUGGGUUUAAGCUGCAUCACCAGUCGUAUCCAACCAGAAGCCUUAAGGAGGAGGGAACCCCAGGAAGGACGCAGAGUGGCUGAAGGAGGACGAAGCUUUGAACUGAGGCGACUUCCAGGCUGAACUCUGACCGUACGACUCCGGAGUGGACGGAGAAAAACGGCUGGAAAACAACAGAAAUGAUCCUGUUACUCUGAAUUUACAACAAAAUCCUCAUUUUUCAGAA
Xiphophorus couchianus (Monterrey platyfish) is the source of this 778-nucleotide long non-coding RNA. RefSeq lists it as uncharacterized. The record is from RefSeq and is a predicted model, not a curated record. Lineage: Eukaryota; Metazoa; Chordata; Actinopteri; Cyprinodontiformes; Poeciliidae. The transcript is spliced from 2 exons.